CAGGGACCGAACCCGCAUCCUCAUGGAUACUAGUUGGGUUCAUAACCCACUGAGCCACAACGGGAGCGCCCAUAAUCUGCAUGUUCUUAAUCCAUGAUGCCAGCUCGGCUUCUCACCACAUCUGGCACCUUGCCUUGGCAGAUGGCUGGGUUAGCAUUACAGAUAAUAUUCCUCCCAACUCUUUCUCCACCCUUAACUUCGACUUAACAUUUUUAGCUGACAACGCUCUACAUUGAUCCUAGGCAGUUUACAAAGGACAAUAUAUUAAAUAUCACAAAAUGUGUCUCAUACAUGUAACACGUAUGGGGCAUUUGUUACAUGUCGGACACUGCUCAAAAUGCUUUCAGGAACUCUUUUAAUUUUCACAACCACCCUAGGGUGUGGGCCCUAUUGUUCCCAUAUAUGCAGAACUGGAGCGAAUGUGGCUUCAAAGUCAGUUAAAACAUCAAAGUUUGGAACAAAAUUUGUUCCAAAUCAAACACAAACAGACAUGUAGAAGCAGAAAACAGAACAGCAGUUCCCAGAGCAGAAGGGAUGGGGGAGGGUCAAAUGCAUCAAGGCAUCAACUAUUUGGUAACGAACAGGAACUAAAUUUGUAGUGGGGAGCAUGCUGUCGGGUAGACAGAAGUAGAAAUAUGAAGUUUUAUAAAUGAAACUUAUGCCAUGCUCUAAAUCAUGUUACUGCAAUACAAAUAAAAAGCAAAUGUUCCAAACAGGAUGAGGUACCCCAGAAAACUAAAUACGGAACUACCCAUAUGACCCAGCAACCCCACUCCUGGGCAUAUAUCUGGAUAAAACUUUCCUUGAAAAAGAUACAUGCACCCAUAUGUUCAUUGCAGCACUAUUCGCAAUAGCCAAGACAUGGAAACAACCUAAAUGCCCAUCGACAGAUGAAUGGAUUAAGAAGAUGUGGUAUACACACACACNNNNNNNNNNNNNNNNNNNNNNNNNNNACACACACACACACACACACACACACACACAGAAUGGAAUACUACUCAGCCAGAAAAAAGAGCAAAAUAAUGCCACUUGCAGCAACAUGGAUGGAACCAGAGACUUUCACACUGAGUGAAGUAAGUCAGAAAGAAAAAGACAAAUACCACAUGAUAUCACUUAUAUCUGGAAUCUAAUAUAUGGCACACAUGAACCUUUCCGCAGAAAAGAAACUCAUGGACUUGAAGAACAGACUUGUGGUUGCCAAGCAGGGAGAGAGAGGGAGUGAGAUGGACCAGAAGUUUGGGUUAAUGGAUGCAAAGUAUUGUAUUUGGAGUGGAUCCAACAAUGAGAUCCUGCUGUAUAGCACAGGGAACUCUAUCUAGUCACCUAUGAUGGAACAUGAUGGAGGAUAAUGUGACAAAAAGAAGGUAUAUGUAUAUAUGUGGCUGUGUCACUUUGCUGUACAGUAGAAAUUGACAGAGCACUGUAAGCUAACUGUAAUGGAAAAAAUAAAAAUCAUUAUAAAAAUUUCAUUUUAUUUCAUUUUAUUUUUUGUCUUAUUUGUCUUUUUAGAGCUUCACCCGAGGCAUACGGAGGUUCCCAGGCUAGGAGUCGAAUCAGAGCUGUUGCUACCGGCCUCCACCAGAGCCACAGCAACGCAUUAAAAAAAUUUUAAAAAGCAAAUGUUCCAAAACAACUUUGAGUUAACAAAUAAUGAAUGAAACUUUCAACAGUUGUUAAACGUACGCCCCUGUGACGUGCUUAAAUAUUUCAAAUUCAACAUUCACUUCAUCACGUUAUUUUUCAACCACAAAAGUGACCGAAUUGUGGAGCUCACGCAGUGGCCCAGCAGGUUAAGGACCAGACAUUGUCUCGGUGAGGAUGCAGGUUCCUCAGUGGGGAAGGAUCCGGCGUUGCCGUGAGCGGUGGUGUGGGUUGCAGACUCGGCUCGGAUCCCGCGUUGCUGUGGCUCUGGGGUAGGCCGGCGGCUGGAGCUCUGAUUCGACCCCCACCCCAGCAACACGGGAUCCGAGGCACAUCUGCGACCUACACCACAGCUCACGACGAUGCCAGAUCCCCAACCCACUGAGCGAGGCCAGGGAUCAAACCCACAGCCUCAUGGAUACUAGUCGGAUUCGCUUCCACUGCGCCGCAGCGGGAACUCCCGCUUUCUGCUCUUCAGCACAACUCCCUCUGCGAGUGGACUGGUUUGCUCAGUCCCUCUGCCUUGAGACCGCCGCAGUUUCCCCAGGUUGGCUGCCCCGCUAAAGGCGCUUAGGGUGAUCCGUGCAGACUCACCUGGCCUUGCCUCCUAAGCCAACAUCCCCCGAAGCCAAGCGCGCUGCCCUUCGGUGAGCGGCUGAGUGCCCCCCACCCCCAGGGUGGGAACCUGCUGCCGCCUGGAGUCUUCAAGAAUCUUAGAAUUACCAUCGGCACCCACGAUGCCACUCCCAGGCAUUUACCCCAGAGGACUGAAGACACGUUCACACGAGAGCUUGUACACGAAUGUUCACAGCAGUCUUAUUCCUCACAGCCAACAGGUGGAAAUAGCUCAACUAUCCGCAAACUGGUGAAGGAAUAAACAGAAUGUGGGCUACCUGUUCCAUGGGCUUUUCUCCCAUCACAAAAAGGAAUACAGUACUGAUACACCCUGCAACACGGACGAACCUGGCAAGCGCCCUCCGUGGAAGAAACCGGGCACAGAAGGACCUAUUG
This 2652-nucleotide long non-coding RNA is filed under the name Sus scrofa (pig). RNAcentral's name for it is "lncRNA (ENSSSCG00040027238.1)". Lineage: Eukaryota; Metazoa; Chordata; Mammalia; Artiodactyla; Suidae. The record is from RNAcentral.